AAAAUUUUAAGUUAAAUUAAACUAUAAACCUUCAAAGUUUAAAAUAUAAAAUUUAUAAAUUUUA
Molecule: transfer RNA, 64 nt
Filed under: Hylaeus dilatatus
Lineage: Eukaryota; Metazoa; Arthropoda; Insecta; Hymenoptera; Colletidae
Description: tRNA-Trp
Source: RNAcentral